Molecule: long non-coding RNA, 661 nt
Filed under: Drosophila melanogaster (fruit fly)
Lineage: Eukaryota; Metazoa; Arthropoda; Insecta; Diptera; Drosophilidae
Description: U snoRNA host gene 3 (Dmel_CR32957)
Rfam family: Small nucleolar RNA Me28S-Cm2645 (bases 400-474)
Source: RNAcentral
CCAGCCGAAAGCCGCACCACGUGUUGCCCAUUCCAAGAAAAAUAAACUAAAUUAGCACGAUGGCUAAUAGAAAACGCAACAAAAUUUUGCUUAAUACAAUAGAGAAAGAUAUGUCAAAUAGCUGAAAGUUAUAUGGUAACUAAAAGAUGUGCGGAUCACGAGAAACGAGCAAUUCACUUUGACAGCCUGGCAGCUGUGACCCAAAGAGUCUCACUUUGAGACUUCUUGGGACCAACCAGCAUGGGAAGUUUACGCGAAAACUGAUGUUUCUGACUGAAAACCGACGAAAGAAUGGUUUCCACACUUAUAAUGCAGAAAAACUGAUGUUUCUGACUGAAAACCGACGAAAGAAUGAUUUCCACACUUGUAAGUAUAAUGAUUGCUAAAGAUUUAUGAUUUUUUUUUGUGAUGAAAUCGUUAGAUAGGGACGUCUGAUAUCUGUGACUGAUUUAUCUCGAUAGUAGAUCUGAUUUUUAAAAUAUUGUUAGCUUGCGUGAUUUUAUGUUCAACAACACUACAAUAACUCUUUCUUUUUAGAUAAUGCUGAAACCCGAAUUUCUCUGACAGAAACCCUACGUAAGAAGGAUUUCCACACUUGGCUCCCUUGCAUGAUGCCAGAAAAGUGGACGUAAAAAAUCUAAUAAAAUUAUAUUUAUAGAAA